RNAcentral lists this ribosomal RNA (2925 nucleotides) under Escherichia coli. RNAcentral's name for it is "bacterial LSU rRNA". It matches the Rfam family "Bacterial large subunit ribosomal RNA". The record is from RNAcentral. Lineage: Bacteria; Pseudomonadati; Pseudomonadota; Gammaproteobacteria; Enterobacterales; Enterobacteriaceae.
GGGUUGUGAGGUUAAGCGACUAAGCGUACACGGUGGAUGCCCUGGCAGUCAGAGGCGAUGAAGGACGUGCUAAUCUGCGAUAAGCGUCGGUAAGGUGAUAUGAACCGUUAUAACCGGCGAUUUCCGAAUGGGGAAACCCAGUGUGAUUCGUCACACUAUCAUUAACUGAAUCCAUAGGUUAAUGAGGCGAACCGGGGGAACUGAAACAUCUAAGUACCCCGAGGAAAAGAAAUCAACCGAGAUUCCCCCAGUAGCGGCGAGCGAACGGGGAGCAGCCCAGAGCCUGAAUCAGUGUGUGUGUUAGUGGAAGCGUCUGGAAAGGCGCGCGAUACAGGGUGACAGCCCCGUACACAAAAAUGCACAUGCUGUGAGCUCGAUGAGUAGGGCGGGACACGUGGUAUCCUGUCUGAAUAUGGGGGGACCAUCCUCCAAGGCUAAAUACUCCUGACUGACCGAUAGUGAACCAGUACCGUGAGGGAAAGGCGAAAAGAACCCCGGCGAGGGGAGUGAAAAAGAACCUGAAACCGUGUACGUACAAGCAGUGGGAGCACGCUUAGGCGUGUGACUGCGUACCUUUUGUAUAAUGGGUCAGCGACUUAUAUUCUGUAGCAAGGUUAACCGAAUAGGGGAGCCGAAGGGAAACCGAGUCUUAACUGGGCGUUAAGUUGCAGGGUAUAGACCCGAAACCCGGUGAUCUAGCCAUGGGCAGGUUGAAGGUUGGGUAACACUAACUGGAGGACCGAACCGACUAAUGUUGAAAAAUUAGCGGAUGACUUGUGGCUGGGGGUGAAAGGCCAAUCAAACCGGGAGAUAGCUGGUUCUCCCCGAAAGCUAUUUAGGUAGCGCCUCGUGAAUUCAUCUCCGGGGGUAGAGCACUGUUUCGGCAAGGGGGUCAUCCCGACUUACCAACCCGAUGCAAACUGCGAAUACCGGAGAAUGUUAUCACGGGAGACACACGGCGGGUGCUAACGUCCGUCGUGAAGAGGGAAACAACCCAGACCGCCAGCUAAGGUCCCAAAGUCAUGGUUAAGUGGGAAACGAUGUGGGAAGGCCCAGACAGCCAGGAUGUUGGCUUAGAAGCAGCCAUCAUUUAAAGAAAGCGUAAUAGCUCACUGGUCGAGUCGGCCUGCGCGGAAGAUGUAACGGGGCUAAACCAUGCACCGAAGCUGCGGCAGCGACGCUGAUGCGUUGUUGGGUAGGGGAGCGUUCUGUAAGCCUGCGAAGGUGUGCUGUGAGGCAUGCUGGAGGUAUCAGAAGUGCGAAUGCUGACAUAAGUAACGAUAAAGCGGGUGAAAAGCCCGCUCGCCGGAAGACCAAGGGUUCCUGUCCAACGUUAAUCGGGGCAGGGUGAGUCGACCCCUAAGGCGAGGCCGAAAGGCGUAGUCGAUGGGAAACAGGUUAAUAUUCCUGUACUUGGUGUUACUGCGAAGGGGGGACGGAGAAGGCUAUGUUGGCCGGGCGACGGUUGUCCCGGUUUAAGCGUGUAGGCUGGUUUUCCAGGCAAAUCCGGAAAAUCAAGGCUGAGGCGUGAUGACGAGGCACUACGGUGCUGAAGCAACAAAUGCCCUGCUUCCAGGAAAAGCCUCUAAGCAUCAGGUAACAUCAAAUCGUACCCCAAACCGACACAGGUGGUCAGGUAGAGAAUACCAAGGCGCUUGAGAGAACUCGGGUGAAGGAACUAGGCAAAAUGGUGCCGUAACUUCGGGAGAAGGCACGCUGAUACGUAGGUGAAGUCCCUCGCGGAUGGAGCUGAAAUCAGUCGAAGAUACCAGCUGGCUGCAACUGUUUAUUAAAAACACAGCACUGUGCAAACACGAAAGUGGACGUAUACGGUGUGACGCCUGCCCGGUGCCGGAAGGUUAAUUGAUGGGGUCAGCGCAAGCGAAGCUCUUGAUCGAAGCCCCGGUAAACGGCGGCCGUAACUAUAACGGUCCUAAGGUAGCGAAAUUCCUUGUCGGGUAAGUUCCGACCUGCACGAAUGGCGUAAUGAUGGCCAGGCUGUCUCCACCCGAGACUCAGUGAAAUUGAACUCGCUGUGAAGAUGCAGUGUACCCGCGGCAAGACGGAAAGACCCCGUGAACCUUUACUAUAGCUUGACACUGAACAUUGAGCCUUGAUGUGUAGGAUAGGUGGGAGGCUUUGAAGUGUGGACGCCAGUCUGCAUGGAGCCGACCUUGAAAUACCACCCUUUAAUGUUUGAUGUUCUAACGUGGACCCGUAAUCCGGGUUGCGGACAGUGUCUGGUGGGUAGUUUGACUGGGGCGGUCUCCUCCUAAAGAGUAACGGAGGAGCACGAAGGUUGGCUAAUCCUGGUCGGACAUCAGGAGGUUAGUGCAAUGGCAUAAGCCAGCUUGACUGCGAGCGUGACGGCGCGAGCAGGUGCGAAAGCAGGUCAUAGUGAUCCGGUGGUUCUGAAUGGAAGGGCCAUCGCUCAACGGAUAAAAGGUACUCCGGGGAUAACAGGCUGAUACCGCCCAAGAGUUCAUAUCGACGGCGGUGUUUGGCACCUCGAUGUCGGCUCAUCACAUCCUGGGGCUGAAGUAGGUCCCAAGGGUAUGGCUGUUCGCCAUUUAAAGUGGUACGCGAGCUGGGUUUAGAACGUCGUGAGACAGUUCGGUCCCUAUCUGCCGUGGGCGCUGGAGAAUUGAGGGGGGCUGCUCCUAGUACGAGAGGACCGGAGUGGACGCAUCACUGGUGUUCGGGUUGUCAUGCCAAUGGCACUGCCCGGUAGCUAAAUGCGGAAGAGAUAAGUGCUGAAAGCAUCUAAGCACGAAACUUGCCCCGAGAUGAGUUCUCCCUGACUCCUUGAGAGUCCUGAAGGAACGUUGAAGACGACGACGUUGAUAGGCCGGGUGUGUAAGCGCAGCGAUGCGUUGAGCUAACCGGUACUAAUGAACCGUGAGGCUUAACCUUACAACGCCGAAG